AUGUGGCGGGCGCGGCGACCCGGCGGCUCCCAGUCUAGGAUCGAACCAAGAUGUGAGCGCCCGCUGGGGGGCCAGGUUGGCGCCCUUGGGACCACAGCGCAGGGGCGUGUGCCUGGGACCCUCUGCUACCCUGCCCCUCCGGUUCCCUCUGGACCGCUGCCAGCCGGCUGCUGCAGAGCCGCAGGAGCUGCAUGGGCUAAAUGCUCCCACAAACAAUAUAUCCGGUACCGGGAACCAAACUCACGACCUCAAGCUUGCCAGGCAGGCACUGUGCUGCUGAGUUAA
RNAcentral lists this long non-coding RNA (285 nucleotides) under Chinchilla lanigera (long-tailed chinchilla). RNAcentral describes it as "lncRNA (ENSCLAG00000029247.1)". Lineage: Eukaryota; Metazoa; Chordata; Mammalia; Rodentia; Chinchillidae. The record is from RNAcentral.